GGCUCUAUAGCUCAGUUGGUUAGAGCGUCUGCCAAGCAAGCAGGAUGUCGAGGGUUCGACUCCCCCUGGAGCCU
Molecule: transfer RNA, 74 nt
Filed under: Haliotis rubra (blacklip abalone)
Lineage: Eukaryota; Metazoa; Mollusca; Gastropoda; Lepetellida; Haliotidae
Description: tRNA-Ala
Rfam family: tRNA
About the family: Transfer RNA (tRNA) molecules are approximately 80 nucleotides in length. Their secondary structure includes four short double-helical elements and three loops (D, anti-codon, and T loops).
Source: RNAcentral